This 274-nucleotide ribosomal RNA is filed under the name uncultured bacterium. Its description in RNAcentral is "partial 16S ribosomal RNA". It matches the Rfam family "Bacterial small subunit ribosomal RNA", at positions 523 to 796 of the family's 1533-position model. The record is from RNAcentral.
AUACGGAGGGUGCAAGCGUUAAUCGGAAUUACUGGGCGUAAAGCGCGCGUAGGCGGUUAUUUAAGUCAGAUGUGAAAUCCCUGGGCUCAACCUAGGAACUGCAUCUGAUACUGGGUAACUAGAGUUUUGGAGAGGUAAGUGGAAUUUCCGGUGUAGCGGUGAAAUGCAUAGAGAUCGGAAGGAACACCAGUGGCGAAGGCGACUUACUGGCCAAAAACUGACGCUGAGGUGCGAAAGCGUGGGUAGCAAACGGGAUUAGAAACCCUAGUAGUCC